RNAcentral lists this ribosomal RNA (780 nucleotides) under Alteromonas sp. M17. Its description in RNAcentral is "bacterial SSU rRNA". It matches the Rfam family "Bacterial small subunit ribosomal RNA", at positions 401 to 1176 of the family's 1533-position model. The record is from RNAcentral. Lineage: Bacteria; Pseudomonadati; Pseudomonadota; Gammaproteobacteria; Alteromonadales; Alteromonadaceae.
UGUGUGAAGAAGGCCUUCGGGUUGUAAAGCACUUUCAGUUGUGAGGAAAAGUUAGUAGUUAAUACCUGCUAGCCGUGACGUUAACAACAGAAGAAGCACCGGCUAACUCCGUGCCAGCAGCCGCGGUAAUACGGAGGGUGCGAGCGUUAAUCGGAAUUACUGGGCGUAAAGCGCACGCAGGCGGUUUGUUAAGCUAGAUGUGAAAGCCCCGGGCUCAACCUGGGAUGGUCAUUUAGAACUGGCAGACUAGAGUCUUGGAGAGGGGAGUGGAAUUCCAGGUGUAGCGGUGAAAUGCGUAGAUAUCUGGAGGAACAUCAGUGGCGAAGGCGACUCCCUGGCCAAAGACUGACGCUCAUGUGCGAAAGUGUGGGUAGCGAACAGGAUUAGAUACCCUGGUAGUCCACACCGUAAACGCUGUCUACUAGCUGUGUGUGCCUUUAAGGCGUGCGUAGCGAAGCUAACGCGCUAAGUAGACCGCCUGGGGAGUACGGCCGCAAGGUUAAAACUCAAAUGAAUUGACGGGGGCCCGCACAAGCGGUGGAGCAUGUGGUUUAAUUCGAUGCAACGCGAAGAACCUUACCUACACUUGACAUGCUGAGAAGUUACUAGAGAUAGUUUCGUGCCUUCGGGAACUCAGACACAGGUGCUGCAUGGCUGUCGUCAGCUCGUGUCGUGAGAUGUUGGGUUAAGUCCCGCAACGAGCGCAACCCUUGUCCUUAGUUGCCAGCCUUAAGUUGGGCACUCUAAGGAGACUGCCGGUGACAAACCGGAGGAAGGUGG